Long non-coding RNA from Triticum dicoccoides, 483 nucleotides. RefSeq lists it as uncharacterized. The record is from RefSeq and is a predicted model, not a curated record. The transcript is spliced from 4 exons. NCBI's taxonomy places the organism in Eukaryota, Viridiplantae, Streptophyta, Magnoliopsida, Poales, Poaceae.
GCCAUGAGGUGCCUGUAACAGGCUCAUAAUAGGAACGAGUGAGGCGAGACACAGCGGCUUGAGGUGCUCGGUAACCUCUACGGUGGAUUGCCUUGUGUGCUGUGGACAAGGAAUCUGGAGUUCAUGUAUCAUUAUCAAACACAAGCUUGUGGAAGGGGUGGGUGUGGCUGGGAGAAAAUGUUAAACAGGAAGGGAAGAAGCUGGAUCACCACAAACGCCAUGGAGGAGAAGCCCACAAAUUGGAUCUCACGAAUUCCACCACCACUCCUCGCCGCCGUCCAUGCUCCGACGUCAGCAGGGCCAGCAAGACGGCGACUUCCACUGGCUGUAAGCCAUCAAAGCUUUGCAUGCGUGAGGCCGGGUUGAUGUUGACUUAAUCAAUCUCCCUGCUGGCGAGGACUUCCUACAGCUUUGCAAGUAUAAGCACCACCAUUGUUUAGUUCCCAGGAUCUCUUUGCUGUCAUGUUGAAUUUGGAGGUGAUA